Molecule: unclassified non-coding RNA, 307 nt
Filed under: uncultured Diaporthales
Lineage: Eukaryota; Fungi; Ascomycota; Sordariomycetes; Diaporthales
Description: sequence contains 5.8S rRNA gene, ITS2, 28S rRNA gene
Source: RNAcentral
AACGCACAUUGCGCCCGCUGGUAUUCCGGCGGGCAUGCCCGUUCGAGCGUCAUUUUAACCCCCUCCCGAAAGACUCUAUUUUACUGGGUCUACGGGGCGUUGGCGCCAGCCACCUGAAAUUUUAUUUUUAGGCGGCCGGCGCCCAAAUGUAGUGGCGGACGCGUGGCGGCCCCUAGCGCAGUAGAACAACCUUCUCGCUCAGGAGGCUCGCGGCGGCGGACCACAGCCCAACAACAAGCUUCAAAAACUUGUACCAAAAUACAUAAAACUUGACCUCGGAUCGGGUAGGACUACCCGCUGAACUUAA